UUUGUUUUUUUUUUACUCUCGGGUGGGGGGUGGGGGGGGGGGGGGGGGGGGGUGGGGGGGUGGGGGGGUGGGGGGGGGGGGGGGGGGGGGGGGGGGGGGGUGGGGGUGGGGGGGGGGGGGGGGGGGGGGGGGGGGGAG
This 138-nucleotide long non-coding RNA is filed under the name Monodelphis domestica (gray short-tailed opossum). RNAcentral describes it as "lncRNA (ENSMODG00000027866.2)". Lineage: Eukaryota; Metazoa; Chordata; Mammalia; Didelphimorphia; Didelphidae. The record is from RNAcentral.